CUGGCGGCGUGCCUAAUACAUGCACCCCGAGCGGAACAGAAUGGGAGCUUGCUCCCUGCCUGUUAGCGGCGGACGGGUGAGUAACACGUGGGUAACCUGCCUGUAAGACUGGGAUAACUCCGGGAAACCGGGGCUAAUACCGGAUGGUUGUUUGAACCGCAUGGUUCAGACAUAAAAGGUGGCUUCGGCUACCACUUACAGAUGGACCCGCGGCGCAUUAGCUAGUUGGUGAGGUAACGGCUCACCAAGGCGACGAUGCGUAGCCGACCUGAGAGGGUGAUCGCCACACUGGGACUGAGACACGGCCCAGACUCCUACGGGAGGCAGCAGUAGGGAAUCUUCCGCAAUGGACGAAAGUCUGACGGAGCAACGCCGCGUGAGUGAUGAAGGUUUUCGGAUCGUAAAGCUCUGUUGUUAGGGAAGAACAAGUGCCGUUCAAAUAGGGCGGCACCUUGACGGUACCUAACCAGAAAGCCACGGCUAACUACGUGCCAGCAGCCGCGGUAAUACGUAGGUGGCAAGCGUUGUCCGGAAUUAUUGGGCGUAAAGGGCUCGCAGGCGGUUUCUUAAGUCUGAUGUGAAAGCCCCCGGCUCACCGGGGAGGGUCAUUGGAAACUGGGGAACUUGAGUGCAAAAGAGGAAAGUGGAAUUCCACGUGUAGCGGUGAAAUGCGUAAAGAUGUGGAGAACACCAGUGGCGAAGGCGACUCUCUGGUCUGUAACUGACCCUGAGGACAAAGCCUGGGGACAACAG
RNAcentral lists this ribosomal RNA (753 nucleotides) under Bacillus sp. Bac22W1. Its description in RNAcentral is "bacterial SSU rRNA". It matches the Rfam family "Bacterial small subunit ribosomal RNA", at positions 36 to 775 of the family's 1533-position model. Lineage: Bacteria; Bacillati; Bacillota; Bacilli; Caryophanales; Bacillaceae. The record is from RNAcentral.